This 511-nucleotide ribosomal RNA is filed under the name uncultured bacterium. RNAcentral's name for it is "partial 16S ribosomal RNA". It matches the Rfam family "Bacterial small subunit ribosomal RNA", at positions 28 to 523 of the family's 1533-position model. The record is from RNAcentral.
GACGAACGCUGGCGGCGUGCCUAAUACAUGCAAGUCGAGCGAAUCAAUGGGAGCUUGCUCCCUGAGAUUAGCGGCGGACGGGUGAGUAACACGUGGGUAACCUGCCUGUAAGACUGGGAUAACUUCGGGAAACCGGAGCUAAUACCGGAUACGUUCUUUUCUCGCAUGAGAAGAGAUGGAAAGAUGGUUCUGCUAUCACUUACAGAUGGACCCGCGGCGCAUUAGCUAGUUGGUGAGGUAACGGCUCACCAAGGCGACGAUGCGUAGCCGACCUGAGAGGGUGAUCGGCCACACUGGGACUGAGACACGGCCCAGACUCCUACGGGAGGCAGCAGUAGGGAAUCUUCCGCAAUGGACGAAAGUCUGACGGAGCAACGCCGCGUGAGCGAAGAAGGCCUUCGGGUCGUAAAGCUCUGUUGUUAGGGAAGAACAAGUACGAGAGUAACUGCUCGUACCUUGACGGUACCUAACCAGAAAGCCACGGCUAACUACGUGCCAGCCGCCGCGGUAA